This 353-nucleotide ribosomal RNA is filed under the name Coris cuvieri (African coris). Its description in RNAcentral is "partial 12S ribosomal RNA". It matches the Rfam family "Bacterial small subunit ribosomal RNA", at positions 1025 to 1527 of the family's 1533-position model. Lineage: Eukaryota; Metazoa; Chordata; Actinopteri; Labriformes; Labridae. The record is from RNAcentral.
CUUGUAUUUUCCGCCUAUAUACCGCCGUCGUCAGCUUACUCUGUGAGGAGCUCGUAGUAUGCACAAUUGGCUUAGCCCAAAACGCCAGGUCGAGGUGUAGCGUAUGGAAAGGGAAGAAAUGGGCUACAUUCAUAGCUAUAAUGAAUACGAAUGAUAUCAUGAAAAAAAUAUCUGAAGGAGGAUUUAGCAGUAAGCAGAGAAUAGAGUGCUCUGCUGAAGCUGGCCCUGAAGCGCGUACACACCGCCCGUCACUCUCCCCGAAAACAAAUCAACACAUCACUAAUCAACCAAAGCCAUAGAGGGGAGGCAAGUCGUAACAUGGUAAGCGUACCGGAAGGUGCGCUUGGAAAAAC